This 253-nucleotide ribosomal RNA is filed under the name uncultured bacterium. RNAcentral describes it as "partial 16S ribosomal RNA". It matches the Rfam family "Bacterial small subunit ribosomal RNA", at positions 524 to 776 of the family's 1533-position model. The record is from RNAcentral.
UACGUAGGGUGCGAGCGUUGUCCGGAAUUAUUGGGCGUAAAGAGCUUGUAGGCGGUUUGUCGCGUCUGCCGUGAAAAUCCGAGGCUCAACCUCGGACUUGCGGUGGGUACGGGCAGACUAGAGUGUGGUAGGGGAGACUGGAAUUCCUGGUGUAGCGGUGAAAUGCGCGGAUAUCAGGAGGAACACCGGUGGCGAAGGCGGGCCUCUGGGCCGAUACUGACGCUGAGGAGCGAAAGCGUGGGGAGCGAACAGG